GAUGAACGCUGGCGGCGUGCCUAAUACAUGCAAGUCGAGCGAACAGACGAGGAGCUUGCUCCUCUGACGUUAGCGGCGGACGGGUGAGUAACACGUGGAUAACCUACCUAUAAGACUGGGAUAACUUCGGGAAACCGGAGCUAAUACCGGAUAAUAUUUUGAACCGCAUGGUUCAAAAGUGAAAGACGGUUUUGCUGUCACUUAUAGAUGGAUCCGCGCCGCAUUAGCUAGUUGGUAAGGUAACGGCUUACCAAGGCGACGAUGCAUAGCCGACCUGAGAGGGUGAUCGGCCACACUGGAACUGAGACACGGUCCAGACUCCUACGGGAGGCAGCAGUAGGGAAUCUUCCGCAAUGGGCGAAAGCCUGACGGAGCAACGCCGCGUGAGUGAUGAAGGUCUUCGGAUCGUAAAACUCUGUUAUUAGGGAAGAACAAAUGUGUAAGUAACUAUGCACGUCUUGACGGUACCUAAUCAGAAAGCCACGGCUAACUACGUG
RNAcentral lists this ribosomal RNA (497 nucleotides) under uncultured bacterium. Its description in RNAcentral is "partial 16S ribosomal RNA". It matches the Rfam family "Bacterial small subunit ribosomal RNA", at positions 28 to 507 of the family's 1533-position model. The record is from RNAcentral.